RNAcentral lists this long non-coding RNA (2849 nucleotides) under Homo sapiens (human). Its description in RNAcentral is "PTPRG antisense RNA 1". The record is from RNAcentral. Lineage: Eukaryota; Metazoa; Chordata; Mammalia; Primates; Hominidae.
GACGUCACCGCAUCUUUAUAAAGGGCCGCCUUGGGGCGCGAAAAGUUCGUGAGGUGUAGUCGCGGCAACCAGGAGCAGGUGCACCCACCACUAGAAUUUGAACAUCCUAAGAACAGGUAUUUUUGUCUCUGCUUUGCUGAUGUAUCCUCAGCAACCGGAACUGCCUGACAUCUGAUCCUUUCUGUGAGACACCAGGCUGUUGAGGAAGAAUCUAUGGCAACAUUGUAUCUAUUAAUAUACAGCUUCUGUAUUUAUCAGGCCCAGUUCUGGUGAUGAUUUCACUUUUGACAGAAGCUGUCCCUCAAAAGCAAACAUGCAAUAGAAGAAACAGAUCUCAAUGGAGUCUCACUCUGUCACCCAGGAUGGAGUACAGUGGCGUGAUCUCGGCUCACUGCAAGCUCCGCCUCCUGGGUUCAUGCCAUUCUCCUGCCUUAGCCUCCCGAGUAGCUGGGACUACAGGCGCCUGCCACCACGCCCGGCUAAUUUUUGUAUUUUUAGUAGAGACAGGGUUUCACCGCAUUAGCCAGGAUGGUCUCGAUCUCCUGACCUCGUGAUCCGCCCGCCUCAGCCUCCCAAAGUGCUGGGAUUACAGGCGUGAGUCACUGUGCCCAGCCAAGUUUAGUAUUUUUUGUAGAGACAGAGUUUCACCAUGUUGGCCAGGCUGGUCUUGCACUCAUGGCCUCAAGUGAUCCACCUGCCUCGGCCUCCGAAAGUGCUGGGAUUACAGGCGUAAGCCACUGUGCCUGGCCUUAAAUGGGUAAAUUUCAUAUGGUAUAUGAAUUAUAUUUCACUAAAACUUUAAGAAAACAUUAUACAGUACUGUUCAAAUUUUAAGUGGUCCAAUUUAAAUGCACUAUUGUAUACAAUUCUAUGUAAUGUCCUUACCAUGGUAUAUGUUAACUAUAAAUAUCUAUGCCCCUACCCUUAGUAUCAAAGCAUAUAUUAUAUGCCAGUGAGCCAAGCCCCACAUGUCUGUGAAAUGUGGUCUUCUAGCCAUAGAAGUAGCUUGUGCUCCUAGGGUAUUCCUUGAGGCUCUGUAUGAAGAAUGUCCAUUUGUUUGAGUCCCUAACCUACAGAAUAUUCCUGACCAUGGAAAUGUGAUAGAUAGGAGUAAGCACAUGGACCAAAAGGCCUGGAGGCUCAUCAUUUAAGGUACAAGCCAAUUAUGUAGUCUUUGAAAGAAUGCUUUGAAAUUCAGCUUGCUUGAUUCAAUUCCCAAUAUUUUCAUUUGUAUUAAAAGAUUUGGCCCUUACAGGUUAAAAACAAUGUCAGUGUAACCAAGUGACAUUCAAAUUUUGGCUCCCAACAUGUGAUAUGACAUCACUUCAUGUGAAAAUAGCGAAGCUCCAAACAUUUUCUUUCAGUCACCUUAUUAAGCUCGCUGAGCCCUGACAGCCUAAUGAAAGGCUAAGGGGGAAGAAAAUGUCCCAACUUCUACACUGUUGAAGAUGGGCUAAUGAGAGGUUAGCUUGCAAGAAUCAUUCUUUCUUGGCAUCCUGCUUCUGACUGCUUGGCUUUCAGCUUAUACCCAGCAUGAAAAUUUAAUUUCCUCGCAGUUGAAGGUAGUUUAAAGCUUAUUACUCACAUGCUAAAAUGUUGAUGUAUCUGUUUUUGUGCUUGUUUUCUGGAUGAUUGGAAUGCUCUGCAGUGAUGUUCAUAUCAGCAGUACAGCGCUGGACUUCCUAGUGAAGAAAACAGCAAGAUUAUAGACACAGUUUAGAAACAAAGGAACACCAUAUACAUUUAAAGGCAUAAAGUAUUUACUCACUCCCUGGCCACAGCCACCGUUACCUUCUCAAUCCCAACUUCGGAUAUAAUUAUUGAUAUAUUUAUAACGAGUUUAUGAAGAAUGUGAAAAAGGUAUAAAGAUUUCAUUAUUUACUAUUUCAUCAAUCAUCUACUUUUUUCUAGUUUUUGACCUAGUCCCUGAGAUGUAAAACAAUAUCUCUUUUUGAAUACAUCAUAGUCUAUGGGUGAGAAAAAUAUUCAAAAAGAUAGUCAAACAUGAUGAAUACAAAAGAGGCCUGAGAAAGCUCUGAUGGGAGCACAGAACAGAGGAAGGCUUUAGACAGGUGAAAAAAUUUACCUAAGUCUUAAAGGAAGAAAGGGAAUUUCUAAGAAGUAUAAUCUCUACCAUGAUUUGCAAUAUGCUUACAGGCCUUAUAGCCUCAUUUUAUAAUUGUGAGGGUGCAUUGACUCUAAAGACUCAGUGCUGAAAUAACCCUAAUAACAGCCCAACUAAUGGUCAUAUCUCAUAUAUACAGUCUUGACAAAUUAUUUGUGAACUCUAGUAUUUUAAAAGUUAUCCUUCUUUGGAAAAAUAGCAGUAGCAGAAAUAACACUCUUAUCCUACCUUGGCCGUGGAUUUAAACGUCAUCCAUUAGCCUAAUACAACGUUGCUGAAAAGCCAAAUUUUUCUACACUAUAUGCUUCAAACCCAAGAAAGUACUGGAGCUGACUAAUAAGGGAAGUCAUUAGCAGUACACAGCUGCUACAAAGAGCCUGAACAAAGUAACACAAAAUUAUCAGGAGAAAUGUUUUACACAGAACAGAUGUAGCAGAGUUUAGAAGCAUGCAGACUUUUUUUUUCCACAAAGGAGUUGCCUAGUAAUUAUGCAUGUUUUCCAUAGUAUUUACAUUAAACAUAAUGAAAACAAUGAACUGGUUGUCUUUUAUAUUCACAAAGUACUUCCCCAGGGAGAAGUACACUUCUUCUCUAGAAGGAGGAAGUUACUGUACUCAAAGAAUUUAAGGUAUAAAAGCAAAGAAUUUCUGUGUGUUCAAAGAAACAGUAUUCAAUGACUCUCCAAUUGUUGGACACUGUAAAUUGAAGUUUCCAUAAUUAUAGU